UACGUAGGGUGCAAGCGUUACUCGGAAUUACUGGGCGUAAAGCGUGCGCAGGCGGCUAUUUAAGACAGAUGUGAAAUCCCCGGGCUCAACCUGGGACCUGCAUUUGUGACUGCAUCGCUGGAGUGCGGCAGAGGGGGAUGGAAUUCCGCGUGUAGCAGUGAAAUGCGUAGAUAUGCGGAGGAACACCGAUGGCGAAGGCAAUCCCCUGGGCCUGCACUGACGCUCAUGCACGAAAGCGUGGGGAGCAAACAGG
RNAcentral lists this ribosomal RNA (253 nucleotides) under uncultured bacterium. RNAcentral's name for it is "partial 16S ribosomal RNA". It matches the Rfam family "Bacterial small subunit ribosomal RNA", at positions 524 to 776 of the family's 1533-position model. The record is from RNAcentral.